UACGGGGGGGGCAAGCGUUGUUCGGAAUUACUGGGCGUAAAGGGCUCGUAGGCGGCCAACUAAGUCAUACGUGAAAUCCCUCGGCUUAACCGGGGAACUGCGUCUGAUACUGGAUGGCUUGAGUUCGGGAGAGGGAUGCGGAAUUCCAGGUGUAGCGGUGAAAUGCGUAGAUAUCCUAAGGAACACCGGUGGCGAAAGCGGCUCACUGGAUCUCUUCUGACGCUGAGGCACGAAAGCUAGGGUAGCGAACGGG
This 253-nucleotide ribosomal RNA is filed under the name uncultured bacterium. Its description in RNAcentral is "partial 16S ribosomal RNA". It matches the Rfam family "Bacterial small subunit ribosomal RNA", at positions 524 to 776 of the family's 1533-position model. The record is from RNAcentral.